GCCCUAAUCUAUGGAUUUCACCUGAUUGGGAAUACAGAUAUGCAUCUGUUGGUCACAGAUACCUUAAAAAAAUGGUAUGGACAAAACUCCUCCCACAUCUUUGCAAGUAUUCCCUGAACUUACUGUAUGUUUCUUCAUCAUGACCACCUCUCCCAUCAUCUACUGAUCACCAGUUCUCUUAGCUACAGAUUGUUACACCAGAUAAUGUGAUUUAACAAAAGAUUUUUGAUAACCAUUACUGGGAGUUACAGGAUAUGUACAGUUUGGUGUAGCACAGAGAAUUUUCAACGAACCUUAGUGAUGGAUUCUUCGCCCUUGUUUCGGGGAAGUCUCAUAAAAAGUCUGUGUCCAGUUGCAGCGGGUCCGUUUGAAUUUAUAAAAUGCUCCGUUAUUAAAAUAAAUACUUAUUUUGCUCCAUAAAAUAAUCCAACAAUAUGUGUGCCGCUAUCGUGUCUAUUUCAAGUCUUCUCACUCAUUGAUCAAGACAGGUAUCUGUCAUCAUGACAUGCAGUACUUUGGGUUGGACAUCCACCUGUCUCAAUCGAUGAGAAAAGACUUGAAAUAGAAAGGGAUGUCAGCAAAAAUCACCUUAUCUGGUGAAACAAUCUGUAGCUACAGUUCUCUGCACUUGUGUCAUGGUUCCACCUGUCUAAAGAGGGCGGCAGAGACCCUCCUAGAGACAUUAGCGACACUCUGGUGUGUCCUAUUUACUCAUUAUGAUUUCUCUGUUAAAAGAGGUGUGUUUUCUAUUGUCCUUCGCUCAAGCUUCAAUUGUGUGCGUUUGUCUCCUGAGUGAGUUGUCGAGACUUAGUGUUUGUUGUUUUCCCAGUGUUACUGUGAUCCUUCCGUUACCGUUCUCAGUGAAGUAUUAUGUUUAUCCUUAACCGCUUAUUCCUGAGCUGGUCUCUUCUCUGCACCUGGGUCCAACCUCACCAUGUCACAACUUGUGUGUCUCUACACCUGAGACACACUCGGACACAUUGAACUGUGUUACACUGUUCAUAAAAAAAAAUUGUAUGUUACUUUUAGUAUAUAACAUUCUUGUUGAAUACCCAGCUCUCUUGAGUUAGCAUUAAAUAGUGGAUACUCCCCUGUAUUUCAGAAUUUGACAAAAACAUUAUUUUGAUAUCUGAAUGUCUGGCAUCUGCUUGAUACUAAAGAGCCCUGUACAGCUAAUAUACAUAUCUUCGGGGAAUCCAUAAGAGCAGUCAAAUGUCAAAGAUUGAUAGAAAAUAUCCAUAUUUAUUUUAUGGCGGUUCUACAUCUGGGCUCUCCAACCCUGUUCCUGGAGAGCUACCGUCCUGUAGGUUUUCACUCCAACCCUGUUCCUGGAGAGCUACCGUCCUGUAGGUUUUCACUCCAACCCUGUUCCUGGAGAGCUACCGUCCUGUAGGUUUUCACUCCAACCCUAAUCUAGCACACCUGAUUCUAAUAAUUAGCUGGUUGAUAACCUGAAACAGGUUAGGUACAACUGUGGUUGGAGCUAAAACCUACAGAAGGGAACAGGGUUGGAGACCCUUGUUCUACAUGGUUUUAUGUUGAGCCACACUGGCUGUAUUUACACAGGCAGCCCAAUUCUGAUAUUAAUUUCCACUAAUUCCACUGGUCUUAAUCGCAUCAGAUCUUUUUCAGAACUGAUCUGAUUGAUUAAAAGAUCAAUUAGUGAAAAAAAAGAUCAGAAUUGGGCGGCCUGUGUAAACGCAGCCAUAAUCCUUUAUCCGGCUUCGGUACACUGGCAAUUGUGUUCAGCAUGGUGGGCUGGGGAAGCGGAGACUCUUUGUGCUUAUCCUGUCUGCGGUGAACAGCCAGCUGGAUACGGCUCUGCCAAAAGGGGUGUAGGGAUUCUUAACCACCAACUGUCUAGGGUCCUUUUGCAGAAGAUUUGCUGGUACUGCACUUCUCCUGGAAAGACAUGGUUGUGGUGUUAGCAUUUUACACUUUUUGUGGAAUGGACGUAGGGCAACACGCCUUUGUUGGUAAAGGUAUCAACCGAAUGGGACCGGCUAACGUAUUGUUUAGGGACAAUGAGGGGACAUUGAGAGCUGCGUUUGAGAGGAAAGAUCAGUCAACAACGUGAAAUGGCUGGGAGGAGGAGGAGGGGGGGGGCUAAAGAUGUGAAAAGUCUUAGGAAGGCAGUUCUUACACAGUAUGAAUUGUUGUGUAUGGGAGAUUGAGGAGAAAUGGCACCUCAAUUGCUCAUACACAACAAUACAUUUACUGUCUAAGCACAACCAAAACCCCCUUCCUCAUCUCAAAGUACUGUCAGUAAACCUCCCCCAGCCCAUUAACGUUGAAAGAUCAUUCUUGUCAAUAGUAGCCCUUUGCAGGGGAGUUUUGUAGACAUGUCUUUGUAUUGUUUUUUAAGAAUCUGCAGAGAGAAGAAUGAGGUGGUUAUGUCAUUACUGUUGUAGUCUUGAUUUGACACUUUUCAGUGUCCCUUGCUGGUUUCUGUCCCACAAUCUUGUUGUGCUCCAUAACCGCAAGGUGUGUCUGCUCCCACAUGCUUGUGUACCCAAAAUGCCCCCACUUUGGGGUAUUUUUCAGCAGGGCACUGUGGAAUGACCCUAGAUAACCUGAGUUUUACAAAAAGAAAAGGUAAAAAGGGAAGGGGGAUGGACAAAAUUGAUUACAUGGUCUGGAAGGUACUUUGUGGUCCUCAGGCUACCUCUAACCACCUGCAACCCCAAAACACAAACCAUACCAAAUUCAUGCUGACUGUAAAUUCAGUUAUAUUUGCCAUCAGUUUGUACAGUUUUUUGCCAACUUACCUUACCUACAGGGAGGAGGUGAGGGCCCUGGCAGAGUGCUGCCAGGAAAAUAACCUCUCCCUCAACAUCAACAACACUAAGGAGCUGAUUGUGGACUUCAGGAGACAGUAGAGGAAGUAUAUCAACUGAGGCCACAGUAGAGAAGGUGAAAAGCUUCAAGUUCCUUGGUGUACACAUCACUGACAAUCUGAAAUUGCAACAGCACCGUUUCAACCUUAAGAGGCUGAAGAAAUUCAGCUUGGCCCCAAAGACCCUCGAAAACUUUUACAGAUGCACCAUUGAGAACAUCCUGUUGGACUGUAUCACCGCCUGGUAUGGCAACUGCACCGUUCGCAACCACAGGGCUCUCUAGAGGGUGUUGCGGUUUGCCCAAUGCAUCACCGAGGGCACACUGAAUACCCUCCAGGACAGCUACAGCACCCUGUGUCACAGGAAGGCCAAGAAGAUUAUCAAGAACCUCAGCCACCAAGCCACAGCCUUUUCACCCCGCUAUCAUCCAGAAGGCGAGGUCAGUACAGGUGCAUCAAAGCAGGACCGAGACUGAAAAACAGCUUCUAUAUCAAGGCCAUCAGACUGUUAAAUAGUCAUCACUAGUCGGCCUUCACCAAGUACCCUGCCCUGAACUUAUUCACUGUCACUAGCCGGCUACCACCCAGUUACUCAACCCUGCAACUUAGAGAAUCUGCCCUAUGUACAUAGAAAUGGAACACUGGUCACUUUAAUAAUGUUUACAGUGCAUUCGAAAAUAUUCAUACCCCUUGACUUUUUCCGCAUUUUGUUAUGUUACAGCAUUAUUCUAAAGUUGAUUAAAUAAAUUGUUUUCCUCAUCAAUCUACACACAAUACCCUAUAAUGACAAAGCAAAACAUGAUUAUUA
This 3644-nucleotide long non-coding RNA is filed under the name Salmo salar (Atlantic salmon). Its description in RNAcentral is "lncRNA (ENSSSAG00000113320.1)". The record is from RNAcentral. Lineage: Eukaryota; Metazoa; Chordata; Actinopteri; Salmoniformes; Salmonidae.